This 194-nucleotide microRNA precursor is filed under the name Oryza sativa Japonica Group (Japanese rice). RNAcentral's name for it is "MIR812 microRNA precursor family". It matches the Rfam family "MIR812 microRNA precursor family". The record is from Rfam by way of RNAcentral. Lineage: Eukaryota; Viridiplantae; Streptophyta; Magnoliopsida; Poales; Poaceae.
AAAAAGACAAACCCUGGUUUCUAUGUCCAACGUUUGACCGUCCGUCUUAUUUAAAAAAAAUUAAAAGACAAGUCAUGCAUAAAGUAUUAAUCAUGUUUUAUCAUCUAAUAACAAUGAAAAUACUAAUUAUAAAAAAAAAUCAUAUAAGACGGACAGUCAAACGUUUGACACGGAAAUCCAGUGUUUGUCUUUUU